RNAcentral lists this long non-coding RNA (369 nucleotides) under Homo sapiens (human). RNAcentral's name for it is "non-protein coding lnc-UTS2-3:5". The record is from RNAcentral. Lineage: Eukaryota; Metazoa; Chordata; Mammalia; Primates; Hominidae.
CCUGGGUCCCUCCUCCCUCGGCCUCACCACACUCCUCUGGGGACCCUGUGCUUGGACUCCACCCUUUCCUGUCCAGACCACUGUGAAGGCCUUUAGUCACCUCCUAGAGAAGCAAGAUUUUCAGCCCUGGCUUUCUACCCCCACACCCUACAGCAGGCACAUCGGAAGGCUCACGGUCAGAGGAUGCUGGGACAAACGCCACGAGAGGUUCCUUUUUGUCUGGCUCACCCAGAAGAGAGGCUCCUCUCCUCCCUUCCCUGCAGCACAACGGCCUGGCUGGCACCCAAAGGGCAGCCGGCAUGGGCUGACCUCAGAGGAGCAAGGCGUGUUUGCAGCUCUGCCGCUCACAUCCACAGUGGCCAUGACAAC